UACGUAGGUGGCGAGCGUUGUCCGGAAUUACUGGGUGUAAAGGGCGUGUAGGCGGGAAUGUAAGUCAGAUGUGAAAUGCCGGAGCUUAACUCCGGACCUGCAUCUGAAACUAUAUUUCUUGAGUACUGGAGAGGAAAGUGGAAUUCCUAGUGUAGCGGUGAAAUGCGUAGAUAUUAGGAGGAACACCAGUGGCGAAGGCGACUUUCUGGACAGUAACUGACGCUGAGGCGCGAAAGCGUGGGGAGCAAACAGG
Molecule: ribosomal RNA, 253 nt
Filed under: uncultured bacterium
Lineage: Bacteria
Description: partial 16S ribosomal RNA
Rfam family: Bacterial small subunit ribosomal RNA
Source: RNAcentral